RNAcentral lists this long non-coding RNA (252 nucleotides) under Gossypium raimondii (Peruvian cotton). Its description in RNAcentral is "long non-coding RNA (GRAI_LNC000603)". Lineage: Eukaryota; Viridiplantae; Streptophyta; Magnoliopsida; Malvales; Malvaceae. The record is from RNAcentral.
CGUUGGAGGUCUUGUGUUCGUAUCCUUGCGCAAGCGUGGAUGUUAAUUUUUGCUCGGUUGUUUGAUAGAGUUUUACUAGAUCUAAAAUUCUAAGGGAGUUAUGAGUUUUGGGUUAGUGGGAGAAAAAUAAGGGAUUAUGUAGGCAUAUCUUUUAUUUUUUUUCUUUUUUUUCAAAUUUUAAUUAGUUUUCUCUCUUCUUCCAAAGUUGACGUCGAUUUCUGCUCCUUCUAUUCUUUUCUAUCAAUUUUAUUU